UUGGUACUACCUCCGUCCCAAAAUUCUUGUCUAAGAUUGAUAUGGAUGUAUCUAACACUAAAACGGGACUAGAUACAUCCAUAUUUAGACAAACCUAAGACAAGGAUUUUGGGACGGAGGGAGUAUUUA
Molecule: non-coding RNA, 129 nt
Organism: Hordeum vulgare subsp. vulgare (domesticated barley)
Lineage: Eukaryota; Viridiplantae; Streptophyta; Magnoliopsida; Poales; Poaceae
Source: Rfam